RNAcentral lists this ribosomal RNA (248 nucleotides) under uncultured bacterium. RNAcentral's name for it is "partial 16S ribosomal RNA". It matches the Rfam family "Bacterial small subunit ribosomal RNA", at positions 524 to 776 of the family's 1533-position model. The record is from RNAcentral.
UACGGGGGGAGCAAGCGUUGUUCGGAUUUACUGGGCGUAAAGGGCGCGUAGGCGGCGUGACAAGUCACUUGUGAAAUCUCCGGGCUUAACUCGGAACGGUCAAGUGAUACUGUCGUGCUAGAGUACAGAAGGGCAACUGGAAUCUCGGUGUAGCGGUGAAAUGCGUAGAUAUCGAGAGGAACACCUGCGGCGAAGGCGGUGCUGGCUGAUGACUGACGCUGAGGCGCGAAAGCUAGGGAGCGAACGGG